Molecule: RNA transcript, 1789 nt
Organism: Marmota monax (woodchuck)
Lineage: Eukaryota; Metazoa; Chordata; Mammalia; Rodentia; Sciuridae
Gene: Etv7
Gene name: ETS variant transcription factor 7
Exons: 8
Source: RefSeq, a predicted model, not a curated record
CAGCCGGCGCGCGGCCCGCGCCCCCGGCUCGGCUCACGCGGGGCCCCGGCCCUCCCCCAGCCCUGGGCGGCGGGAGUGGAGCCGGAUCCCGCUCUUUCGUUUUCGUUUCCCGGAAGGAUAGCGCCUACCCCAGCGCCUCGCGCGCCUGCUCUCGGGGCCCAGGGUUCACGCCCCGGCGCUUCUCGCCAGAUUUCGCCCCAGGCGACCUUUCAGUUCUCAGCGCCCAGCGAGGGGCCUCGGGGAGAGGGGCAAGGAGCACCGCCCAGGGCCCAGCAGCGCCAGCCGGGAGCGCUCGCGACAGAAAGCCGGUGGCCCCUCACCUCCACCUGGGAUGCAGGAAGGAACACUGGCCUAUUCUCCUGUAGGUCCUGCAGCGGCCACACACCCCUUAGGCACCCAGGUCCAAGCUAGAUGUGAAGCUCAAGUGCAACUGCUGGGUGAGACUGGAAUCUGCAAGCUUCCAGGAAGACUCCGCCUCCAGCCGGCGCUGUGGAGCAGGGAGGACGUGCUGCACUGGCUGCGCUGGGCCGAGCAGGAGUACUCGCUCCCGCGCACCCCGGAGCGCGGCUUCCAGCUGAACGGCCGCGCGCUCUGCAUCCUCACCAAGGACGAUUUCCGCCGCCGCGCUCCGGGUUCAGGUGACGUCCUGUAUGAGCUGCUCCAGUUCAUCAAGACCCAGCGGCGAGCCCUGGUGUGCAGGCCGUUCCUCCCGGGGACCUGCCGGCAGAGGACGCGCCCCGGGCUGCCCCAGGCCCCGGAAGAGGGGAUCGGGCCCUCUCAGGCAGCCCCCCAACCCACCGCCAAGUGCCUUCUGUCACAGCCACCAGCCCUGGGGCUUGCCAGCUCCUUCAGCCACCUGGGUUCUCUCAGUCCAGCCAGGCAGCCCCUCAGAUUAUCUCAUUGUGCAGAGCCCGGCUGCAGGACCAGGGGGGUCUGCUCCUUCCCCAGGAUGCCACGGGCCCCCAUUGAUGGCAGGAUCGCAGGUCCCCAGGGACACGGUCCUCAUGGCUCCUCUGUGCUGACCUGCAGACUGCCACCUGCUGUGGGACUACGUGUACCAGCUGCUCCGGGACGCCAGGUACGAGCCCUACGUCAGGUGGGAGGACAAGGACGCCAAGGUCUUCCGAGUCGUGGAUCCCAACGGGCUCGCCAGACUCUGGGGGAACCAAAAGAACCGGGUGAACAUGACCUAUGAGAAGAUGUCCCAUGCCCUGCGCCACUAUUACAAACUGAACAUCAUCAGGAAGGAGCCGGGGCAGAAGCUGCUGUUCAGGUUCCUGAAGACUCCAUAGGAGAAAGUCCGGCACAAGAGCAGCCACCUGGAGCAGCCGGAGAGCCAGGAGCAGGGCGGGAUGGACUUCAAGGACAAGAUGUUUGUGGUCCCUCUGUGAGGGGCCAGCAGGCUCCGGGCAUGGAUGGGGCGGAGACCAAGCCUCCCCUCGAGGCAGCCCCCUGGCUCCUUGCAGGGCAGCGGGGAUUCCCAGACAGAUUGUGUGAUCCUGGAAUCGUAGCUGUCGUCUGGAACCCCAAGCUGCCUGGGGCCUGGGGUGGCUGAGAGCUGGGAGGCCUCACACCCAGGACACUGGGAGAGGCUGGUCAACCUUUGUGUAAUGCAAACAGAGUGGACUGUCUUGCUGUCCUAUCCUGGGUACCUGCCCAGCCCAGGAGAGGUGGCCAGGCUCUGGCCCCGCCCAAGAGAGGACUGGAGGUCCCUCACAGAGGCUCAGUUUUCCUCAUCUGCAAAAGGGGUGCACUUAUAAAAACCCACCCUUGGGGAUGACGUAUGAAA